Molecule: ribosomal RNA, 454 nt
Filed under: uncultured bacterium
Lineage: Bacteria
Description: partial 16S ribosomal RNA
Rfam family: Bacterial small subunit ribosomal RNA
Source: RNAcentral
GAUGAACGCCGACAGAAUGCUUAACACAUGCAAGUCAACUUGAACUUCGGUUUGGGUGGCGGACGGGUGAGUAACGCGUAAAGAACUUGCCUCACAGCUAGGGACAACAUUUGGAAACGAAUGCUAAUACCUGAUAUUAUGAUUUUAGGGCAUCCUAGAAUUAUGAAAGCUAUAUGCGCUGUGAGAGAGCUUUGCGUCCCAUUAGCUAGUUGGAGAGGUAACGGCUCACCAAGGCGAUGAUGGGUAGCCGGCCUGAGAGGGUGAACGGCCACAAGGGGACUGAGACACGGCCCUUACUCCUACGGGAGGCAGCAGUGGGGAAUAUUGGACAAUGGACCAAGAGUCUGAUCCAGCAAUUCUGUGUGCACGAUGAAGUUUUUCGGAAUGUAAAGUGCUUUCAGUUGGGAAGAAAAAAAUGACGGUACCAACAGAAGAAGUGACGGCUAAAUACGUG